Molecule: long non-coding RNA, 511 nt
Organism: Capsella rubella
Lineage: Eukaryota; Viridiplantae; Streptophyta; Magnoliopsida; Brassicales; Brassicaceae
Exons: 2
Source: RefSeq, a predicted model, not a curated record
CGAUCCUUCUUCUUCCAUCUAAUCUCUUUUACAAUUUGAUAUUUUUCGUUUUCAUCUUUCUCCUCAUGCUCUCUUUAUAUUUUUUUUGUUUAUUCUAAAUCAUAAGCUUUGAUCUACACUUAACAGUGGUAACUACACCCGAAAGUCUCCCUCAACUCAGUCCGUUUUCGAUGUAACUACCUACAUGAGUGAGAAUAUGUGAAACUUAUCUUUCUCAUCCAACGCCACAUCACUUGAAGCUGAACUAGGACGGUCGGAGAUUUUCGUCACUAUCACCGGAGACGCAAAGCGGCAGCUCGGAUCUCUGUGAAAACCCUAAGAUUUUAUUGGGCUGGGCUUUUUUUUAAUUGUCGUUGGGCUUUUUAUUAUAUUUGUAGUGAGCUUUUUAUAAGAUUUAGAUCUGUAAUAGAUUAAAAUUUUCUUUUGUAAAUAUGCAAACCGAAAUUAAAACCGAAUAAACCGAAGAAAAAAAAAUUCGGUUCAAUUUCGGAAUUUAAUAUUUUGCCAAUAA